Molecule: non-coding RNA, 24 nt
Filed under: Gossypium hirsutum (cotton)
Lineage: Eukaryota; Viridiplantae; Streptophyta; Magnoliopsida; Malvales; Malvaceae
Source: RNAcentral
GUUGAGUCCUUGUUGGUCGGUGGC